Molecule: transfer RNA, 75 nt
Filed under: Actinoplanes campanulatus
Lineage: Bacteria; Bacillati; Actinomycetota; Actinomycetes; Micromonosporales; Micromonosporaceae
Also listed under: 1 other name
Description: tRNA-Ala
Rfam family: tRNA
About the family: Transfer RNA (tRNA) molecules are approximately 80 nucleotides in length. Their secondary structure includes four short double-helical elements and three loops (D, anti-codon, and T loops).
Source: RNAcentral
GGGCCUGUAGCUCCAAUUGGUAGAGCAACGCUUUUGCACAGCGAAGGUUGUCGGUUCGACUCCGACCGGGUCCAC